GGAGGGGGUUAGCGUUGUUCGGAAUUACUGGGCGUAAAGCGCGCGUAGGCGGAUUACAAAGUUGGGGGUGAAAUCCCGGGGCUCAGCCUCGGAACUGCCUCCAAAACUGCUAGUCUAGAGUUCGAGAGAGGUGAGUGGAAUUCCGAGUGUAGAGGUGAAAUUCGUAGAUAUUCGGAGGAACACCAGAGGCGAAGGCGGCUCACUGGCUCGAUACUGACGCUGAGGUGCGAAAGUGUGGGGAGCAAACAGGAUUACAUACCCUGGUAGUCCACACCGUAAACGAUGAAUGCCAGUCGUCGGGUAGUAUACUAUUCGGUGACACACCUAACGGAUUAAGCAUUCCGCCUGGGGAGUACGGUCGCAAGAUUAAAACUCAAAGGAAUUGACGGGGGCCCNCACAAGCGGUGGAGCAUGUGGUUUAAUUCGAAGCAACNCCCANAACUUACCCACCCUUGACAUCCUGUGCUACUCCAAANAUGGAUGGUUCCCUUCCGGGACGCAGUGACAGUNGCUGCAUGGCUGUCNUCNCUCC
Molecule: ribosomal RNA, 532 nt
Filed under: uncultured Alphaproteobacteria bacterium
Lineage: Bacteria; Pseudomonadati; Pseudomonadota; Alphaproteobacteria
Description: bacterial SSU rRNA
Rfam family: Bacterial small subunit ribosomal RNA
Source: RNAcentral